UGGGGAAUAUUGGGCAAUGGGCGAAAGCCUGACCCAGCAACGCCGCGUGAGGGAAGAAGGGUUUCGGCUCGUAAACCUCUGUCCUAUGGGACGAAGGAAGUGACGGUACCAUAGGAGGAAGCCCCGGCUAACUACGUGCCAGCAGCCGCGGUAAUACGUAGGGGGCGAGCGUUGUCCGGAAUGAUUGGGCGUAAAGGGCGCGUAGGCGGCCUGGUAAGUCCGGAGUGAAAGUCCUGCUUUUAAGGUGGGAAUUGCUUUGGAUACUGCUGGGCUUAGGGGGGUC
This 283-nucleotide ribosomal RNA is filed under the name uncultured bacterium. RNAcentral's name for it is "partial 16S ribosomal RNA". It matches the Rfam family "Bacterial small subunit ribosomal RNA", at positions 355 to 652 of the family's 1533-position model. The record is from RNAcentral.